GCGGGGGUGCCGGAGCGGUCAAACGGGCCAGGCUUAGGACCUGGUAGCUUAGUGCUUACGCAGGUUCGAAUCCUGUCCCCCGCA
This 84-nucleotide transfer RNA is filed under the name archaeon. RNAcentral's name for it is "tRNA-Leu". It matches the Rfam family "tRNA". From Rfam's summary of the family: Transfer RNA (tRNA) molecules are approximately 80 nucleotides in length. Their secondary structure includes four short double-helical elements and three loops (D, anti-codon, and T loops). Further hydrogen bonds mediate the characteristic L-shaped molecular structure. tRNAs have two regions of fundamental functional importance: the anti-codon, which is responsible for specific mRNA codon recognition, and the 3' end, to which the tRNAs corresponding amino acid is attached (by aminoacyl-tRNA synthetases). tRNAs cope with the degeneracy of the genetic code in two manners: having more than one tRNA (with a specific anti-codon) for a particular amino acid; and 'wobble' base-pairing, i.e. permitting non-standard base-pairing at the 3rd anti-codon position. RNAcentral also lists the same sequence under 1 other name. The record is from RNAcentral.